AUAAUAGUAUUAAUUAUAAUAAUAGUACUAAUUAUAAUAAUAGUUAUUAUAAUUAUGAUGAUAGUGAAGAAGACGAAGAUGAAGUGAACGCAGAGGAGGAAGAAGAAGAUGAUGAUGAUGAGGAAGAUGAAAUGGGAGAAGGAGAAGAAGAAGAAGAGGAUGAAGAAGAGAGAGAAAAAAAAAUAGAUAUUAAUGAAAUAAUACAAAAAUAUAUCUAUGAUGCUGAAAUGGAUUAUUACGAAACAUUUACUAAUAAUCAUGGAUUUUAUCUUUUUGACGAUACAAAUGAUAAUAGUUCUAGUGAGAACAAUGUAAGCAGUAGUAGCAAUGACAUUAAUAAUAACGAUAACGAAAAAGGAGAUAAAAAAAAUGGUGAUAACGACGAUAAUACAAAAAACAAUAAUAAUGGCAAUGUGAACGAUGGAAAUGUGAACGAUGGAAAUGUGAACGAUGGCAAUGUGAACAAUGACAACAUGAACAAUGACAACGUGAACAAUGACAACGUGAACAAUGACAACGUGAACAAUGACAAUGUGAACAAUGACAAUGUGAACGAUAACAACGUGAACGAUAACAACGUGAACGAUAACAACGUGAACGAUAACAACGUGAACGAUGAGAAGGUAAAUAGUGACGUGUGUAACACAAGUGGUAAAGAAAUAGAGUAUGGACGUAAAAAGAAGUUUGUGUAUAAAGAAUGUAACGAGUCCAUAAUCGAAAGAUAUAAAUCAGAAUUAACAGUUUAUAAACAUAAAUAUAAUUUGUAUAGUAUUCACGAAUAUUAUGAUUAUAUUAUGAAAAAUAGAAAUAUAACAUUUAUUAAUUAUGAUAAUGAAUAUAUACUAAAAAUGAAAUAUCAUGAUGGUUAUGGUUUUCCUUUAUGUAAUUUGCAUAUAACAAACGAAAAUAACAUUAACAAUAAUUUUUUGUUUAAUAUGCAUUUGAUUCAUGAAGAAGAUGAAACAAAUACUUUACGUGAUGUUACAAAUUAUGUUGAUCUAAGUAAACUAGAUAUAGAUCCUUUAUUUUUUAAAGAAUAUUAUUUAAAACAUACUUUUUGUAAUGGUGAAUAUUUACCUUCAAGAAGUAGUUUUGUUGAAAAGAUAUGUUUUUUAGCGUAUCAUUUGAAAAAGAUUCCUUUUGUUAGUAAAAUAAAAAUAAAUGCAAAUAAACCUAUCUUAUAUCGUUUAUUUAUAAACAUUUUAGGUGGUUUUAAAAUGUUAUCCGUAAUAAAAUGUAUACAAGAUGUAACUGAUUCUAAUUUAUUAAAUAUUUUAUUUUACCUUAAUGAAGAAAUUGUAAACGAAUCUAAAACAGAGAAAAACUUAGGUAUAUGUUUAAAUAAUAUAAUGGGAAAAAACAAAGAAUGGAAUACUAUUAUAAAUACUGGUUUUCUGAGUUUGUUAGGAUGUAGUUCUUAUUUAAAAGAACAUUAUUAUUUAGAUGAGAAAGAUAAAAAAGAGUUUUUUGGUAAUGAAAAAAUAUUAGAUUUACCAAUAUUUGAUUUUUUAGAUUAUAAUAUAAUGGACUUUUUUAUUCCUAUUCAUUAUGAAACUAAUUUCGAAAUUGACGUAUAUCAUGAUAUAAUAAAUGCAUCUGAUGAAAGGAGACAUUUAUAUAAAACAUGGUAUAUUUGUCAUUUAUUUACACAUAAAGUAUAUUUAUUAAAUAAAAUGUGGGAUGUAAUAAAAAAUUGGAAAACUACAAAUUUUAUACCUAAACCAUGGUAUAUUGAUUAUGUAGGUACUAUACUAAUACCAGAAAUAGUAAAUUUAUAUCAUAUGAAAGAAUAUGAAUAUAUGUUUUUUAGAUAUAUAGAAGAAAGUCAACUGUUUAUGUCUUUAAAAAGAAGUAAACAAUAUCCAAUCAAAGAUUAUGAUAAAAAUACUUAUUACCAUGUUCAACAAAUUGUUGCUUUUCAAGGAACCAGUAACCCAGUUAUGUGGAUUCUAAAUUUAAUUUAUAAUUUAGAACCGUAUCCUUUUUUAACAAAAGGGAAAAUACAUAAAGGAUAUUUAUUUAUUUUUAAUCAUGUAAUAAAACCGUAUCUAUAUAAUUUAAAAAAAAAUAUAUUAAAAGAAAUUAAUGCUCCUAAUUCAAUAUAUACCAAAAAUAAUCCAUAUGUUAUAAUUUUUACUGGUCAUUCACUUGGAGCUGCAGUGGCCCAAAUUAGUUCAUUUUUUUUAGCAAAGAUUUUAAAUGUUAAAAAGAGUAAUAAAAUAAAAAUAUGUAUGGUUUCGUUUGGUAUGCCUUUAUAUAGUGAUCAUAUAUAUACUGAAGAUUUUUUCAAUAGUGGGGUUAUAAAUUAUAGUAUUGUAGUUGAUAAUGAUCCUAUUCCAUUAAUUUUUGGAGCAAAAGAAUUAUUUUCAUGUCCAUACCCACAUUGUCAAACGAAACAUAAUAUAACAUUUAAAGUUGAUCAACUAAAAGUUAUAAACCAUCAUUUCGGUAAUAACAUAUUUAUGGGGGAUGAUUAUUUUAGUCCUGAUAAACCUCAACAAAAUUAUUUGAUACAAUUAUUAAUCAAAUAUUUUUUUAAUAAUAAUAUAUUUUUAGAAUCAGUCGAACAUAAUAUAUCUCAAACACAUUAUUUUUUUUAUUAUAUAUUUUUAACCUUAAUAUCUGGAUGGGCAAAUGAAGCUGAUUGGGGUUCAUAUUUUCUGUCAUCACAUUUUCUCGUUGAUUUAACAGAUUUCUCACACAAAGAAUUAGUGUCUAAAUUAAAAGAAGUAUAUAAAAAAUAUAAAGAAGGUUUAGAAAAAAAAUUACAAUCGAAUUUAAAAAAAAAAACAACACCAAAGUAAACUUUACAUCCUAAACUUGACAAAAAAAAAAUAUACAUAUAAACAUAUAAACAUAUAAGCAUAUAAGAAUAUAAACAUAUAAACAUAUAAGCAUAUAAACAU
Long non-coding RNA from Piliocolobus tephrosceles (Ugandan red Colobus), 2906 nucleotides. The record is from Ensembl. Lineage: Eukaryota; Metazoa; Chordata; Mammalia; Primates; Cercopithecidae.